Long non-coding RNA from Passer domesticus (house sparrow), 6204 nucleotides. RefSeq lists it as uncharacterized. The transcript has 7 exons. The record is from RefSeq and is a predicted model, not a curated record. Lineage: Eukaryota; Metazoa; Chordata; Aves; Passeriformes; Passeridae.
AGAGGUACAGCACAGACGCACAGAGUCUGUGUGCUCGUCUGCCGGGUGGAGCUGUCUGUCCCUCUGGUUCACGGGCACGCUGUGUGCAGAAGGGAACGGUGACACUGUGAGUGACCACUGUGCUUGCUGAGCCCUGCGUGCUCGCUGGACACCACGGCUUACCUGAGUUCUUUGCAGAUCCUCUCACUGCUGCUCAGCACUCCUGACCUGUGGUGCAGAGGAACCCACCUGUGUCCUCUACCUAAGAAAGAAGUGGUAUUGAUCUGACUGCCCAUUGGAAGCAAACAGUAACAUGAACAGCAACCCACGUAUGAGGAAGUUGAACAGUUGCUGUGAUUCUGGCUGAAGCUGCUGGCCCCCGCAUGAUGUGACUGCCACCUCCAACAAGACAGUGUGGGGGAUCAGCUACAUUUGGUGAGUUAAGGCUGUAAACAAACAGCACCUUCCACCCUCAAGAUGGUUCCUGGUGUCCACGUGGAUUGCUGCAGCACAGAAACCUUUGCCAAGGCAGAAAAUCCACUGAAAGUACAGCCAUGACAUGAGAGGGAGUUUUGGACUUGCACAUUUGAGCAAAACCUUGGAUGCAUAAACACUGUUCUACUGAUCAGAGGGAAAAAAGAAGCUUCAAAACCUCUUCUCUGAAGCAGCUAGAACACAACUUAUCUCUUGCCCCUGUGGCCCUGCCCUGGAAAGUCUGCCACCCUCUGAACUGUACAGUGAAAUGCUCAGAAACUGGAACCAGGUUUGGUCAAUGCUUCUGCUUAUUUAAGAGCUCUGUCAUCAAGACAAGAACUUUCUUUUCAAAUCAACUCAGAGAAAAAAAAAACUACACAAGAGGAACAGGAAAGAUAACCUCUCAGCUCACACAACACAAAGCUGAUUGUAGUGUCAGUGGAGACAGACAAUAUUUUUAAUCUAAUUCUCACAAGUGAGUCUGAGUUUAGUGAACCUGGGAUCUGUUUCCACUCUCUCAGGUGGAGCAAAUCAAAAGCAGUUUCUUAGCAAAUCCUGAAUACACUGGGCUCUCCAUCUUAUUGGAGUAGGCAAGACUGAUUGGCCCCAGCUAUAUAACUAUCACCAAACCUGCUUCAGGAGUUCCAGUGUGAGCAGAUGGGUCCCUUCAAAAACACCCAUCUCUCUGCACUGCUCACUGCUUUCACAGGCAUGGACUGCGUGGGUGUAAGCGGUGCUCAGGCUGGGCUGGCUGGAUCCUGUCCCAUCUUCUAAGCAGCUUUCCUGUAUCUAAGGAUGGAAAAAAUCUUUCCCCAUUUCCAGUCCUUCUGCCUGAGAUUGUAAAUGUGAGUCCUUUUCCCAGUGAAGAAGUUUGACAGGUUAGCAAUGGCAGGUUGUUAAUACUUAGAUGACUUCAAGUACAAUAUCAGAUUUGUUGUCUGGCUUGGGGUUUGUCUAGACAAGUUGUUUUAUUAGAUAGCAGAUGGUUUGGAAAUUGUUUGCAGUGACUGGGCCGAGUAGAAUUGGAAUUCUCUGUUCCCAGAUCAGAAGGAAUGGGGUUGGGAAAAUGGAGAGCAAAACUCCCACGUUUCCCAUUCAAAUUGAAAAAUGGAUAUAUAGAUUUAGAUAUAGGUGUGUGUGUGUUUGCAUAUUAUUGAGGGAAAUUAGGUUCACUCUGUUUAUGGUGGAUCCUUAAGGAACUGAUAAAUCACAGGACGAAUUUCCUUGGUACACCCUUAGUGCCAAUAUUGGCAUAUGAAUUUACAAUCUUUGAGAAUUCUUCACUUUGACUCAUUCUUCGCCUUUCUCCUUUGCCCUUCUCUGUCGUUCUGAGUCCCCAUUCCAGCCCCUCUUCCCAUCUGUCUCUGCCCAUUUCCUUUGGCCUUCAUUCUCCUCUGCCCUUCUUUUUGUUCUCCCUCCUCUCUCUGCCUCCCUCCUGUCUCUGCCCUUCUUCAGCCUUCUCUGACCUUCUCUUUUUUCCUGAUCCUUUGUCCUUCUUCCUCCUUCAUCUCCACUCCUCUUCUCUGCUAUUCUUUUCCAUCUGCCCAGCUCUCUCUGACCUUCUCUGACAUUCUUUGAACUUCUCUGCCUUCACUUCUGUUGUUUUCUCUGCCCUUCUUUAACCUCUGCCCAUCUCCACCCUUUCUGCUUUUCUGCCAUUCUUCUCCUCCUUUUUCACUCUUCUUUGCCAAUCUUUUGGCCUUUGCUCUUCUCUGCAGCACUCACCCCAGCUUUGCCCUGUUCUGCCCUUUUUUGACAUUCUUUGAUUUAAUGGCACUUCUUUCUCCCCUUUCCACACCUUUUGGCCCCUUUGGUCACUCCUGUCCAUCUCUACACACUCCUCUCAUCCCUUUUUUGUCUUUCUCUGUCCUUCUUCACCUCCUCUAGCCUGCUCUCCCCUGUGUUAUAAAACCAUAACUAUAUGUCAUACCCCCAACUCCCUUUCCCUCCUUUUCUGCCAUCUUCUCUGCGGUUCCCCACCUUCCUGUGCCCCUCUCCACCCCUUUCUUCCCCUUUUCACCUGCCUGUGUCAUCAGGAUAUCUGGAGUUAACACUGUUAAUUUAUUUAGUGCUAUUCCCCAGGAUUAAUAAAUGUAUUUUUUUCUGUAUACUUGAAGCUAACGCUUGAUGAUAGCUGCACAUCACCAUAGAAACCAGGACAGGUUCUUCUGUAAGUCAAAGGUUAAUUUAUAAUUAUUUUUAAAAUUAUCUUGCUCAGAUGCAUCAAUGUAGACAGGACUUGUCCAAAACAUUCUUCCUUACCAAAUAAUCUAUCUUUCUAUUCCAGCUCUUCCAAAAAUACAUUAACAUGGCUCCUAUUUGCUUAAGGCAGAGUCUCCAUAAGGUGUUAUACAAGAAAACUGUCUGGUUCUGAGUGUUUGUAGCUAUGUUUGCAAUUGACAGAGCUACUGACAGCCCCAGCUCUCUGUGGGAUGGCUGUGGACCAGAGCACAGAUGACUCACUGUGUAUGAUGUUGUUUCACACCAAAGUGUUUGCUCUGUGUACUGAACAUGUGUGCGAGUCAAUAGCAAAAAGUUUGAGAACAAACACAGCUUAGAUGGAAAUAAAUUCAAAUUGACUGAAAUCAUUAUUCCCAAGUCAGAAACAAUAAUAUAAAUGUCUUUUUAAAGGAGAAGUUUUACUUGGCAUGGUUCUUGUGCCUUCUACCAAUGAUUGAGGGUCAGGCAGUGUGAAAAGGAGGCCUUGGCAUUUCCUUGCAGCAAAAGUCUUUUCAUUCCAGAGAUGGGCAGAAGAGAGUUUGGGUCACUGCUCAGAUUUCUCCCAUGCAGCAGCAAUGCCCAAUCAUUGGGUGCUAUUUUUCCCUUGGUAACAAAACUGUUUUUCUCCCCCAGCUGCCUUUUCAGAGUUCAGCAGAUAUCUGAAAAACUGGUUUUGUAUUGGGAGCUAUUUACUUGCCUUGUUGCCAAUUAACUCUCCCUAAAGCCGUUGCACAUCUAUAAGGUGCAGUUAAUAAAGUCCUUUUGAUGCGUUAAUGUCCUCCUAGGAGCAGCCUCAGUCUCAGGCUGGCUCAGUCACAUGGAGGUGUCCCCUCAGCUGCCUCCUCUCUCCCCAGCUGAGCUAAUACGGAUCUCUGAGAACAGCACAUUAUCUCAGUCCCUCAGAAUGCUUGACUGUACCUCUGGGCCACAUCUUCUUUUAUUAAAAAAACCCUCUACAAUGUAUGUUGGAAGAUUUCCCAUCUGCAGGACACUAUACACAUAUAAAGGCAAUCUCUUACUGUAGUGUCCCCAAUAUGAAGUUGUGGAAAAGGGCACAGAAAUAAUCCUGUAAUCUGGUUGGCAGAUAACAAAUUGCUUUUGUGCUAGUGUAGGAGAUUAAACUGUGUAAUUUACUUAUAAAAUCAGGUUUCUCAUGGAGUAUGGGUAUAAAUCCACAAAGACUUCCAGAAUCUUUACUGGGCUUUGAAUGGUGUCCAUAAGAACUUCUUGUGGGUGACAGCCUGGUUCAGAGAGUGCUGUCUCAUGGGGAUCACUAGGAUGAGUCACCCUUACUUAUGUGGAGACAUCUCUAUGUGGUAAUGUGCUCAGGGAAGUGGGGAGCAAAGGAAAUCCUCUCAGUCAUUCCCCAAAGUCUCUGGCAAUGUCCCUUCUGCAAAGUGUUUCCACACCCUAGACCUGCUCUUGCAGCCUGUGUGUUUCUGGAGCGCCGUAGCCAAUGAAUUCAAGUUCACACCCUCACACCCUCCCGAGACAUGGCUGAGCUUUGUCAGCUGCGAGGCUCCAGAUGUGGCCAGGCUGGGACAGACAGGGAAUUCCCAUUUUCUUAUGCUACAGACAAGCCACAAGGCUGCAGUACCAUCCCUUUCUUUUCUGUGCUUGCAGAGGCUGAGCUGCAGUAAUGUCAGCUCCACUGCAGGCAAGGAACCACCUCCUGGGACCAGCCUGAGGGACAAAUCCAACCUUGAAAAACAGCCAGCAGGAUGACAUGCAGAUCAAAGGGGUAUUGCAGAGCUCAGCUGCAAGGGAUCCCUUAGAGAGUUUUUAAGGCAUUUUAGCUCACCCUUAACUUCCUUCAAAUGGAGCACAGGUUCUCUCUGGAAGAAAAAUAAGAGCAGAGUUUGGUACAUGCCCUGAAAUGCACAGGCAGCCAAGGAGUAUUGCCAUUUUCUGUACCUGUUUGCUCAGUGACUGUGUUGUUUGCAAGAGGUUUAUUAUUCCCGUUGUACCUUUAGGAAAAUUACUGCACAAAUCUCUGAGGCUUGAAAAACUCUGUUUUGGUGAUAUUUAAACGUUUUAACUGUCAUCACAAAAAUUUUAAAUGUGGUGUGUGUGUGUGUGUAUCCAAUGUCCCACAAAGUGUGGGCAAUGUGUAUGGGUGUAAAAGAAUUUUCCCAAGAGCAAGAGGUAGAGCAGUUAUUUCAGUAUUUCAUGUGCCUUGGUAAAUUUCUUUUUAAUGAGAGAAAGAGGUGGGGGUUUUGUUUUGUUCUCUUUUUUUCCCAGUUUCCAUGCUCUGGUUUGAUUUGUCAGGCCAUCAAUGGACAUAAACAGUGUAAGUGCAUGAGAGUAUCUGCAUGCCAGUGCAGGUUUCAAAAAGUGUACAAGCUACAGUGAGCCAUCCUAUUUUGCAGUUAAAUUCCAUGUCUCUGAUGGAUUUCCCCCCACUGUUGCUAGGAGAUGAAGGUAAUGCCUAACAAAGGAUAUAUUGACAAAAAAUUUUCCAGAACAAAUCUAUCUUGUUAUGGUAAAUAGAGACUCACAUAAAAUGGAUAUUGCCGGAUUUAUUUCCUUAGUGGUGACACUGGCAAAAUUGCAUACAUCAAGUGAAGGUGAAAUUUCCCCAUCACAAAUGCAGUUUUGUUUUGUUGACAUAAAGACUUUCAGUGCGUUUAAUGCCGAAAGCGCUGCUGCCUUCCAGUGUGUUUUGUUGCUAGGCUAAUAGGAUGAACACAUCCUACAUCAGCGAUUUUCCUUCUUCCCUUCUCUGCUACUUCUCCCUUUCAGGAAGAAAUGUGGCUUAUCAAACUGGUUCCCCUCUUUUCAUUACUCUUCUGGGAAACGCAGAUUCCUUCUUUUGAAGCGGGGAAAAUGCGUGCAUGACUUGGGACAUGUUGCGAUUUGGCAAAGAAGCAGCUAAAUGCAAUGGAAAAGCAGAUCAGUCUUUUGCUUUAUAGCUACAGGCACAUCUGCAUUAAAACAAAACAAAACACAAAGUUAAAUGGAAAUCUAAUAAAGACAGGAACUUCAGGAAUUCUCAUGGAAAGAUUAAAUUUCUAGAGAAUGACAAAUUUUCUCCCUUUAUUCUGGUGACAUAAUGAACGCACAAAUAGAUUUGAACAGCAAAAGCCAAUGUGACUUGAGCCAUAUAAAAUAAAAAUUUUGCUGGAGAAAAAGUUUAGUUCUGGUGUGGCAUUUAUAUUUUCCCGUCCACUGCUAUGCCAGCAGUUCCUAUGCCACCACAGGAGUCUCUGGCUCUGAACACAUGCAAGUAAACAACUUGCUGUCCAGAAAGAUGAGGUCAAGACUGAAAAGUAGAUUGCCUCUUUCAGGGUAGGAAAGGAGUCAGGGAGAAACACAUUCCCCUUCAUUCUCCUAUAUGCAUCAUUGCACAGAGAGAGCUGAGAAUUUGAACUUUUUUGAGUUGAAGCUACUGUGUCCCUGACUCCACAACUGUGCAAAUACUGGGCUGGUUUCAUCUUGGGUGUGAAUCUGCUCCCACAGGCAUGGCCAUCUGCACAGACCAGUGGCAGGUGUGGUCCCCUCCUCCUCUGCUCACAAAUGAAUGGUGUGGAA